Molecule: ribosomal RNA, 468 nt
Filed under: uncultured bacterium
Lineage: Bacteria
Description: bacterial SSU rRNA
Rfam family: Bacterial small subunit ribosomal RNA
Source: RNAcentral
ACUCCUACGGGAGGCAGCAGUAGGGAAUAUUGGGCAAUGGUCGGAAGACUGACCCAGCCAUGCCGCGUGCAGGAAGACGGCCUAUUGGGUUGUAAACUGCUUUUAUCUGGGAAGAAAAGGGCCAUGCGUGGCAAAUUGCCGGUACCAGAUGAAUAAGCACCGGCUAACUCCGUGCCAGCAGCCGCGGUAAUACGGAGGGGUGCAAGCGUUGUCCGGAUUUAUUGGGUUUAAAGGGUGCGUAGGCGGCUGAUUAAGUCAGCGGUGAAAGACUCCGGCUCAACCGGAGCAGUGCCGUUGAUACUGGUUAGCUUGAGUGCUGCAGGGGUACAUGGAAUUGAUGGUGUAGCGGUGAAAUGCAUAGAUACCAUCAGGAACACCGAUAGCGAAGGCAUUGUACUGGGCAGCAACUGACGCUGAGGCACGAAAGCGUGGGGAUCGAACAGGAUUAGAUACCCUGGUAGGAUAGCG